UAUCAGCCUUUCGGGUGCGAUUCUGUGGAGUUUGAGGAGCUUAACACCUUCAUGCUUUGCAUAUUCGUGCUCUUGGGUGUACUUGCCCGUGUGGUUGGUUAACAUCAAUUUUGGUGGUCAUAAAAUGACUGGAGGAAUGUAGCUUCGAUCUCGUAUUGAAGCGUUAUAGCCUUCGGUAGAUGUGAUGAUCGAGAUUGAGGAUUGCAACGGAUACCCUUUGGGGUUACCUGUCUGAUCUCUGAUCGUUGCUCUGGUGUCGAAAGCUUGCUUACGGUUAUCAAAGUCGAUGGUCAAUAGGUUAGAACGGGUUAAAUUCGUUAAGGAUGUUGACGUA
RNAcentral lists this ribosomal RNA (334 nucleotides) under uncultured Glomeromycotina. RNAcentral's name for it is "eukaryotic LSU rRNA". The record is from RNAcentral. Lineage: Eukaryota; Fungi; Glomeromycota.